GGGCCCGCACAAGCGGUGGAGCAUGUGGUUUAAUUCGAAGCAACGCGAAGAACCUUACCAGGUCUUGACAUCCCUGGACAGCUGUGGAAACACAGUUUCCCUUCGGGGCCAGGAGACAGGUGGUGCAUGGUUGUCGUCAGCUCGUGUCGUGAGAUGUUGGGUUAAGUCCCGCAACGAGCGCAACCCUUGCCUUUAGUUGCCAUCAUUAAGUUGGGGGACUCUAAAGGGACUGCCGGUGACAAAUCGGAGGAAGGUGGGG
RNAcentral lists this ribosomal RNA (259 nucleotides) under uncultured prokaryote. RNAcentral describes it as "partial 16S ribosomal RNA". It matches the Rfam family "Bacterial small subunit ribosomal RNA", at positions 917 to 1178 of the family's 1533-position model. The record is from RNAcentral.